GGCACAGGCCUAGAGAGAGCUGUCGCAAAAGUUCCUGCUGAAUUCAGCAUUUGGACAAGAGAGGCUGGAGCAGGCGGUCUGUCCAUUGCUGUUGAGGGUCCAAGUAAGGCUGAAAUCUCCUUUGAAGACAGAAAAGAUGGAUCCUGUGGUGUUAUUUACAUUGUGCAGGAGCCAGGUGACUAUGAAGUUUCCAUCAAGUUCAAUAACGAGCAUAUCCCAGAUAGCCCCUUCAUUGUUCCUGUUGCUACAUUGUCUGAUGAUGCACGUCGACUUACUGUUACAAGUC
Molecule: long non-coding RNA, 286 nt
Organism: Sinocyclocheilus anshuiensis
Lineage: Eukaryota; Metazoa; Chordata; Actinopteri; Cypriniformes; Cyprinidae
Exons: 3
Source: RefSeq, a predicted model, not a curated record